AGUAUCAAUGAUGAUGUUCAUUUACCGCCCCAGGCUGAUAUCUAUGACUGAUUGGUCUAUUCUGAGAUACU
Molecule: small nucleolar RNA, 71 nt
Organism: Lineus longissimus
Lineage: Eukaryota; Metazoa; Nemertea; Pilidiophora; Heteronemertea; Lineidae
Source: RefSeq, a predicted model, not a curated record